UACGUAUGGGGCGAGCGUUAUCCGGAUUCAUUGGGCGUAAAGCGCGCGUAGGCGGCCUCGUAGGCCGGGAGUCAAAUCCGGGGGCUCAACCCCCGCCCGCUCCCGGAACCCCGAGGCUUGAGUCUGGCAGGGGAGGGUGGAAUUCCCAGUGUAGCGGUGGAAUGCGCAGAUAUUGGGAAGAACACCGGUGGCGAAGGCGGCCCUCUGGGCCACGACUGACGCUGAGGCGCGAAAGCUGGGGGAGCGAACAGGAUUAGAUACCCUGGUAGUCCCAGCCGUAAACGAUGGGCGCUAGGUGUGGGGGGACGAUCCCUCCGGGCCGCAGCCAACGCAUUAAGCGUCCCGCCUGGGGAGUACGGCCGCAAGGCUAAA
This 372-nucleotide ribosomal RNA is filed under the name uncultured bacterium. RNAcentral describes it as "bacterial SSU rRNA". It matches the Rfam family "Bacterial small subunit ribosomal RNA", at positions 524 to 898 of the family's 1533-position model. The record is from RNAcentral.